This 683-nucleotide ribosomal RNA is filed under the name Metacrangonyx remyi. RNAcentral describes it as "12S ribosomal RNA". Lineage: Eukaryota; Metazoa; Arthropoda; Malacostraca; Amphipoda; Metacrangonyctidae. The record is from RNAcentral.
CUUAAUUGUUGUUUGACUAUUCCUAUAUAAACUUAAUAUCUAAAACCUUUAUUCCUUUCUUUUAGUUAAUCUUUUCUUUAAGGGAGUACUAAUUUUCUUUCUCUGUGAAAGCUUUUAGAGAGAUUUGUGACUAAAUGAUAAAUUUGGUGCCAGCUAUUGCGGUUAAACUAAAAUUUAAAGGAAUAUUAUUAAGAAAAAUAACUUAAUGAAACAGAGAGUCGGGAAUAGGUGAAAUUUUUGUAGUUACUAUUUUCUUAAUAUUAUUAAAAAAUGGGCAACGAACUAGGAUUAGAUACCCUACUACACCCUUUUUUCUUCUUCUUGGAAGAUUAGAUUUAAAAUUAAAAAAUUUGGCGGCUUUUUUAUUUAGAGGAACUUGUCUAUUUAAUUGAUACUCCCCCUUAAUUUUGAUUUUUAGUUCGUUUUGUAUACCAUCAUUUAAAUAAUUUUUUAAUAGCUAAUUAUUUAAAGUUCUUAAAGAAAGUUAGAUCAAGGUGCAGAGAUAUUAAAAUUUAGAUUAGUUACAAUACUAGAAUAUACGGUAAAGAAUUAAUAGUUCUAUAAAGGGCGGAUUUAAAUGUAAUAUAACUAUAUAUAUGAAAUUUAAUAAAUUAGUGUACAAAUUGCCCGUCACUCUCUUUGAGAUAAGUCGAAACAAAGUAGAAGUACCUGAAGGUGCUUCU